This is a long non-coding RNA of Hyla sarda, 1172 nucleotides long. RefSeq lists it as uncharacterized. Lineage: Eukaryota; Metazoa; Chordata; Amphibia; Anura; Hylidae. The record is from RefSeq and is a predicted model, not a curated record. The transcript has 3 exons.
GUCAGUUAUAUCACUCGCAGGGUGCCCAGAGAGAAGGAUCGCUGCGCUAGAUGGGGGAAAUUGAAAAAAAUUCAUAGGGCAUUCCCACAAUCGCAGCACCAAAGACCCAAACAGCCUUAUUUUAGCUCGGCUGUAAAAAGCUGGAUAGAAUAGGGACCCUUAAUGACUGCAAUAGAAAGGCGUAUCAGCACUUAUUAAGAGAAUUUUGGACACUUUAUUCACCCAUGUGCAACAUUUAGCCCAACUCACUGGAGCUUGAAGAGAAGAACAGAAGAGACAGAUUAAGAACUAAAGUGGUGAAAACUGCAGUCCUGAAAGUCAAAAUCACAUUGACCAAUCAGCUAUGAACAAGAAAAAAUUCCACCUCUUUUCAACAGGUGUAACAGCGUGUCUGGCCGGAGCGCUCUCUUGCCAUGCCCCUGCUGCUGGCGCGUGCCCUAGGAGGUGGGGGCACGCGUGCCGGAGCUAUUUUAUUUAAAGGACCAGUACUCAUUUAAUUAAGUGUAUUCACCUGUGCUCUUUUUAUAAGUACUUGCCCCUCCCUUGUAUCCCUGCCGAAUCUUUGUUGCCUUGUGCCCUAGUGAAAGCAUACUGUGUUUCCUGUUAUCCUGAUUAUCCGUGUACCUGAUCCUUGUUCCGUGACCUGACCCUGCUACUGUGCCGCCUGCCCUGACCUACAGCUAUCCUGACCAUGUCUUGUCUUAUCCUUCUGUACCACGCUUCAUCCCAGUUACCUGUGGGGACGAGUCGUGCCAGGGGUAGCGACCUGGGUGCCGCCUUCCGCAGCAAGACCAUCCCGCUUUGCAGCGGGCUCUGGUGAAAACCAGCAGCACCUUAGACUCCGCUCCCUGGCACAGCUCACGUCAUCAUCCACACAGGUUAAGAGGAUCCACCACCUGCUGUGACCCUAACAACAGGCCUACAAGUACAAGGCCAACACAGUUGUGCCACACAGUUAAUAAACUCUGUAAUCCACACUACCUAAAAUCUACUAAUCCAUCAUAACAAUAACAUCAACGAAUUUGUCUAUUGGGCAUAGAAAAGGUUAUAUAGGAGGCUGUUACUAAUACUACCCAACUAUACUUAUGAUGGAAGCCCAUAGUCCAUGGCCCAUCUCAAACUAUAGACUCCUGCUUAGCUGAACCACAAAUAUGAGCAAUUGCCAGCUGGUU